CCUACGGGGGGCAGCAGUAGGGAAUCUUUCACAAUGGGCGAAAGCCUGAUGGAGCAACGCCGCGUGCAGGAUGAAGGCCUUCGGGUUGUAAACUGCUUUUAUAAGCGAGAAAUAUGAUGGUAACUUAUGAAUAAGGAUCGGCUAACUACGUGCCAGCAGCCGCGGUCAUACGUAGGAUCCGAGCAUUAUCCGGAGUGACUGGGCGUAAAGAGUUGCGUAGGUGGCAUAAUAAGUAGCUAGUGAAAUCUGGUGGCUCAACCAUUCAGACUAUUAGCUAAACUGUUAAGCUCGAGACCGUUAGGGGUAACUGGAAUUUCUAGUGUAGGAGUGAAAUCCGUAGAUAUUAGAAGGAACACCAAUAGCGUAGGCAGGUUGCUGGGACGGUUCUGACACUAAGGCACGAAAGCGUAGGGAGCAAACGGGAUUAGAUACCCGAGUAGUC
Molecule: ribosomal RNA, 442 nt
Filed under: uncultured bacterium
Lineage: Bacteria
Description: partial 16S ribosomal RNA
Rfam family: Bacterial small subunit ribosomal RNA
Source: RNAcentral